RNAcentral lists this signal recognition particle RNA (95 nucleotides) under Mycobacterium sp. Its description in RNAcentral is "signal recognition particle sRNA small type". It matches the Rfam family "Bacterial small signal recognition particle RNA". Rfam says of the family: The signal recognition particle (SRP) is a universally conserved ribonucleoprotein involved in the co-translational targeting of proteins to membranes. The record is from RNAcentral. Lineage: Bacteria; Bacillati; Actinomycetota; Actinomycetes; Mycobacteriales; Mycobacteriaceae.
GAUGGACCCCCCGCGGCGUGUAUCCUGCGAGUUCCCCCACGGCCGGAAGGCAGCAAGGGUCAAUGGGCGCUGGCGUGUGCGCGGGGUCCCCCUCG